UCCGAGUUGUCCCCGGCAGUCCCCUUAGAGUCCCCGGCAUUACCCGCUGGCAACUAAGGGCAGGGGUUGCGCUCGUUGCGGCACUUAAGCCAACACCUCACGGCACGAGCUGACGACAGCCAUGCAGCACCUGUGCUGGCCCCUUACGGACACGGGCUUUCACCCGCUUUAACCAGCAUGUCAAGCCCAGGUAAGGUGGGGAUGACGUAUCUUACAGCGUAC
This 222-nucleotide unclassified non-coding RNA is filed under the name uncultured Actinomycetes bacterium. RNAcentral's name for it is "uncultured actinobacterium contains 16S-23S intergenic spacer region". Lineage: Bacteria; Bacillati; Actinomycetota; Actinomycetes. The record is from RNAcentral.